RNAcentral lists this ribosomal RNA (492 nucleotides) under uncultured bacterium. RNAcentral describes it as "partial 16S ribosomal RNA". It matches the Rfam family "Bacterial small subunit ribosomal RNA", at positions 29 to 507 of the family's 1533-position model. The record is from RNAcentral.
AGUGAACGCUGGCGGUAGGCCUAACACAUGCAAGUCGAACGGCAGCACAGUAAGAGCUUGCUCUUACGGGUGGCGAGUGGCGGACGGGUAAGGAAUACAUCGGAAUCUACUUUUUCGUGGGGGAUAACGUAGGGAAACUUACGCUAAUACAGCAUACGACCUACGGGUGAAAGCAGGGGAUCUUCGGACCUUGCGCGAUUGAAUGAGCCGAUGUCGGAUUAGCUAGUUGGCGGGGUAAAGGCCCACCAAGGCGACGAUGCGUAGCUGGUCUGAGAGGAUGAUCAGCCACACUGGAACUGAGACACGGUCCAGACUCCUACGGGAGGCAGCAGUAGGGAAUAUUGGACAAUGGGCGCAAUCCUGAUCCAGCCAUACCGCGUGGGUGAAGAAGGCCUUCGGGUUGUAAAGCCCUUUUGUUGGGAAAGAAAAGCAGCAGGUUAAUACCCCGCUGUUCUGACGGUACCCAAAGAAUAAGCACCGGCUAACUUCGUG